GAUCACUCUGACAUGUGAGGUGCAGGAAGGAGGUGAAACCACUGAGUGGGAGUAUGAAUGGAGAGGACCCAGGACACCCACACAGUGGACACACAAUAAUGAUGUGACAUUCAGAGUUUCUGAGUCCAGCAGUGGAGACUACAUGUGUAAGAGUCGACGCAGAGAUGACUUAUAUUCUUCAACAGAGUGGAGUGAAGCCUUCACAUUGUCAGCAUCAAGUAAGUCAUCAGUUAAACCAAAGGCCCAACUGACUACUAACAGCAGAGACGUUCCAGUAGCAGGCAAAGUGACUCUGAACUGCUCAGUGAACCUGUCAUCUGAAUGGAAAUACUUCUGGUACAGAGGUAAUAAAUCCUCUGAACCCCUGACUACACAAGAUGCUGCUCCUUCAGACGGACAAAUCAGUGUCUCACAGGAAGGACUCUACAGGUGCAGAGCAGGAAGAGGAAACCCAGUUUACUACACAGACUACAGUGAUCCAGUCAACAUUGAUAAAAACACAGAGCCUGGGCCUGAAAACUCUUCGUUUCUCACUCCUUUGAUUGUUGGACUUGUUUGUGGAAUUUUACUGAUUCUUC
Astatotilapia calliptera (eastern happy) is the source of this 578-nucleotide long non-coding RNA. The record is from Ensembl. NCBI's taxonomy places the organism in Eukaryota, Metazoa, Chordata, Actinopteri, Cichliformes, Cichlidae.